RNAcentral lists this ribosomal RNA (440 nucleotides) under uncultured bacterium. RNAcentral describes it as "partial 16S ribosomal RNA". It matches the Rfam family "Bacterial small subunit ribosomal RNA", at positions 338 to 795 of the family's 1533-position model. The record is from RNAcentral.
CCUACGGGAGGCAGCAGUGGGGAAUAUUGCACAAUGGGGGAAACCCUGAUGCAGUGACGCCGCGUGAGUGAAGAAGUAAUUCGUUAUGUAAAGCUCUAUCAGCAGGGAAGAAAAUGACGGUACCUGAGUAAGAAGCCCCGGCUAACUACGUGCCAGCAGCCGCGGUAAUACGUAGGGGGCAAGCGUUAUCCGGAUUUACUGGGUGUAAAGGGAGCGUAGACGGCAGUGCAAGUCUGGAGUGAAAGGCGGGGGCUCAACCCCCGGACUGCUCUGGAAACUGUACGGCUUGAGUGCAGGAGAGGUAAGUGGAAUUCCUAGUGUAGCGGUGAAAUGCGUAGAUAUUAGGAGGAACACCAGUGGCGAAGGCGGCUUACUGGACUGUAACUGACGUUGAGGCUCGAAAGCGUGGGGAGCAAACAGGAUUAGAUACCCCAGUAGUC